This 316-nucleotide long non-coding RNA is filed under the name Sorghum bicolor (sorghum). RNAcentral's name for it is "long non-coding RNA (SBIC_LNC004298)". The record is from RNAcentral. Lineage: Eukaryota; Viridiplantae; Streptophyta; Magnoliopsida; Poales; Poaceae.
GACCAGCUAUGGAGAUCUCCCCAGUAUCUCAGACUUAGCUCUAACUUGUUCUUAUUAGCUAGAUGACCUGCUAACAGAUCUGUUGUAUAACUUGUAUAUGACCAUGCCUACUCGCGUAGUUGUUCUUUUAUUCUUUGUUUUCCCUUAAUUUAUUCCUUGACGUUGCUCCGAUGUGUGUCCGCUAUCAAAUCAACUACAUACUUACCCCUCUUUAUACUAUGUCUACCAUGCAUUUCAAUAAGUAAUCAUGUUUAUAACCAAAGCUAGAUGUGUUCACAAUGCCUUCCUACGGGAAAUUAUAAAUACGACACCCCUG